AGCCCCUGGUAAUGAGCAAAGCAACACCUCAUUGGUGGUGUUGCUCUUAUAUCAGUCAAGGGCAGAGCAGAUGACAGUCCUUUGUUCAUCCUAGCUUGGUACCUGGGUUGGUGUGCCUAGGGCACAUUA
Molecule: small nucleolar RNA, 129 nt
Filed under: Castor canadensis (American beaver)
Lineage: Eukaryota; Metazoa; Chordata; Mammalia; Rodentia; Castoridae
Description: Small nucleolar RNA SNORA48 (ENSCCNG00000029994.1)
Rfam family: Small nucleolar RNA SNORA48
About the family: The snoRNA ACA 48 has been identified to guide pseudouridylation of the residue U3797 in the 28S rRNA subunit. Its host gene EIF4A1 (eukaryotic translation initiation factor 4A1) is shared with U67 and snoRNA mgU6-77
Source: Rfam by way of RNAcentral